Molecule: small nuclear RNA, 107 nt
Organism: Orcinus orca (killer whale)
Lineage: Eukaryota; Metazoa; Chordata; Mammalia; Artiodactyla; Delphinidae
Source: RefSeq, a predicted model, not a curated record
GUGCUCGUUUCAGCAGCACAUAUACUAAAACUGCAACGAUACAGAGAAGAUUAGCAUGGCCCCUGCACAAGGAUGACAAGCAAAUUCGUGAAGCGUUCCACUUUUUU